CGGCUAUGAGCUCCAAAGUUGAGAAACAUAUUUGCUGAACCCUUUUCCUUAAAUUACAUUUAUAGAAAUAGGAAAAAUGGAAUAUCUCCAUUAGGCAGCAUUUAAAAGCACUGAAGAAGUGUAGGGAUGUGAAAACACUUCUAAAAAAGCAAGUUUGGGCCGGGCGCGGUGGCUCAAGCCUGUAAUCCCAGCACUUUGGGAGGCCGAGAUGGGCGGAUCACGAGGUCAGGAGAUCGAGACCAUCCUGGCUAACAGGGUGAAACCCCGUCUCUACUAAAAACACAAAAAAUGAGCUGGGCGUGGUGGCGGGCGCCUGUAGUCCCAGCUACUCGGGAGGCUGAGGCAGGAGAAUGGCGUGAACCCGGGAGGCGGAGCUUGCAGGAGAAUGGCGUGAACCCGGGAGGCGGAGCUUGCAGUGAGCUGAGAUCCGGCCACUGCACUCCAGCCUGGGUGACAGAGCCAGACUCCGUCUCAAAAAAAAAAAAAAAAAAAAAACCACAAACAAACCAGAAAGUGACUGGCAUUGACAAGCAGAUAUCCCCAUGUACUCCCUUGAAGUGGCCACUUGGGCCUUUGAAAUGAGCGGAUAUGGGUGUAUUGUAACAGGGCAGAGAUGGGCUGAAUGUAGGGAUGUUUCUUUUGCACCUUCUCAGGCACAAAAUGCCAGAAAGAACUGUUCUGUUUCUCAAUAAGAAAGUCAGAGAGUUGGGCCGGGCGCGGUGGCUCAAGCCUGUAAUCCCAGCACUUUGGGAGGCCGAGACGGGCGGAUCACGAGGUCAGGAGAUCGAGACCAUCCUUGCUAACACGGUGAAACCCCGUCUCUACUAAAAAAUUACAAAAAACUAGCCGGGUGAGGUGGCGGGCGCCUGUAGUCCCAGCUACUCGGGAGGUUGAGGCAGGAGAAUGGCGUGAACCCGGGAGGCGGAGCUUGCAGUGAGCCGAGAUCUGGCCACUGCACUCCAGCCUGGGUGACAGGGUGAAACUGCGACACUCCGCCUCACAAAAAAAAAAAAAAAAAAAAAAAAGAAAGUCAGAGAGUUUUGAUGGCUAUGGGUGAGAUUCUCUGUGGGAAGGCCCUGAACAUAGCUGACAAGUGAGACAAAUGCUGGUAGCCCUGGAGGGCUACAAAUGGGUCUUGACAGGAAUAGACACUGGCUAUGGAGUGGAUGUUGCUUGCCCAGAAGAUGAAAAUUCUCCGAGUGCAAUAAAAAACCAGAACAGAAGAUAUUACAUGGAUAUAGAUGGCUAACCAUAAUUUUUUCAGACCAAGGAACACAGUGUACAGUCCAUAACAAUAGUCCAACAAUGGACAAAGAAAUAUCCUCCUAGAGUAAUAGUUUGAUAGAGAAGUAGAGCAGGCAAUUGAAACAUUGAUUGUGUAAUAAAAGCACAAAGGGCU
RNAcentral lists this long non-coding RNA (1399 nucleotides) under Papio anubis (olive baboon). Its description in RNAcentral is "lncRNA (ENSPANG00000043355.1)". Lineage: Eukaryota; Metazoa; Chordata; Mammalia; Primates; Cercopithecidae. The record is from RNAcentral.